AUACGGAGGUGCGAGCGUUAAUCGGAAUUACUGGGCGUAAAGCGUACGUAGGCGGUUGGUUAAGUUAGAUGUGAAAGCCCCGGGCUUAACCUGGGAACUGCAUUUAAAACUGGCGAACUAGAGUUGAGUAGAGGGGAGUGGAAUUUCAGGUGUAGCGGUGAAAUGCGUAGAGAUCUGAAGGAACACCAGUGGCGAAGGCGACUCCCUGGACUCGAACUGACGCUGAGGUACGAAAGCGUGGGUAGCAAACGGGAUUAGAAACCCUAGUAGUCC
This 273-nucleotide ribosomal RNA is filed under the name uncultured bacterium. RNAcentral describes it as "partial 16S ribosomal RNA". It matches the Rfam family "Bacterial small subunit ribosomal RNA", at positions 523 to 796 of the family's 1533-position model. The record is from RNAcentral.